RNAcentral lists this ribosomal RNA (30 nucleotides) under Phlebotomus papatasi. RNAcentral's name for it is "partial 28S ribosomal RNA". The record is from RNAcentral. Lineage: Eukaryota; Metazoa; Arthropoda; Insecta; Diptera; Psychodidae.
UGCGAUCUCAACUCAUACGUGACUACCCCC